This is a long non-coding RNA of Salvelinus sp. IW2-2015, 3501 nucleotides long. RefSeq lists it as uncharacterized. The record is from RefSeq and is a predicted model, not a curated record. NCBI's taxonomy places the organism in Eukaryota, Metazoa, Chordata, Actinopteri, Salmoniformes, Salmonidae.
CAAAGAUAAAAAAAUAGAAAAACAAAUGGGGUUAGAGAUUAAUAUUUCUCUGUGUGUGUGCGUGCGUGCGUGCGCAUUGUGCAGACUAGUAUGUUUCUAAUGUCUGUUAUUUUUUUCUCCAUUGCUUACCAAGAUGUAUGAACACAUACCAGGCCAUUAUGUCAUUUUGUUCAAAUAAGAGUUGUUGUAUUUUCCAUGAGUAGAAUGUGUCCUCUUGUACAGAGGGACUUUCUUUGUAUCUACGUGUGUGUGUGUGUGUGUGUGUGUGCGCGUGUGUAUGAUUGUGUGUGACAGAAAGGGGGCAAUGGCACAACACAUCCUUUCUCACCAGCUCUUCAUCCCCAGAGAAACGUAAUAGAAUGACAGACAUUUGUAGAGGGGGAUUAUGGCUUUGCGCUCCUUCAUAUGUUGUUAAAGCACCACUUGUUUCUGGGGUGUUUUGGGGUACGGGCUGAUGGAGCAGUGCCCCUGCCCGCUGUCUUCUCUCAGCCACGGCCUCUGAGCCUGUGUGUGUGUGUGUGUGUGUGUGUAUGUAUGCAUGCAUGCACAUUUGUGCCUAAGAACUCUGAAAGGGUGAAUGGGAUGGAGGGAAUGUUCAAUGGCCAUUGAGACAUUUACUUCUUGAGUGUGUUAUGGUUAUGUUAAGCGCUCUGUAUAGCCUGUGUAUGUCAAUCAUAUAUCCUAAUAUUUCAGGUUUAGUCUGGGGAUGAUGAUUGAUUGGAAGGUUAGUCCAGUUUAGUUUUCCUGGGAUGUGAUCACGUUGCCUUGUCAGUUCUCUUUAACUUGCGUGUGAAAGGUGUGCAGUUUCAGAUUCUGCUCAAAACAAUUAGCAUCAAACUGUUCACGUACAGGAUGGUGCACAAAAUGUUAGCAUAUUCUUGUGUUACUUACUCAUUGUUGUUGCUAUUGUUGAUGAUGACGUUUCUUUUUUAGGAAUAUAAAUGAAAAUACAUACAUGAAUAAUCAAAGAAYAAAAAAAAAAAAAAAAAAAGUAUUUGGACUACGAUUAUGAGCACUGCUAUUUUUUCUCUUUUUUUUAUUUUCAUAGUUUAGUUUUUGUUGCAUUACUGCCAUGUGAAGUGCGUUUGUUAUUUCUUUCUUAAGAAAACAUUGAAUGUAUUCCCAAAAAAGUCAAAAAAAUGUGAUACAGGAUUUUUUUGCUCCACAAAAUGUCUAAAAAUGGAAUCAAAAAAAAAACUAAAAAUCUAAGAUUGAAGAGGUCGYCGAGUUCUUUACUCUUUCUUUUUUUACACAAAAGAGGAAGAACUCGGGAAGGCUACAGUUGAACACACUGCCUCUGCAAUCCUGUUCGUACAAAAACAAUAUUACUAUGAAAAAAUCAAGAACAGACUCUUUACUAUUCCUUACUGGAGUUUUGGUUGUUUACAAAACACACGGAUUUCUGUGGGUGCAGUUUUUUGGGGGUUAGGGUGGAUAGUGGGUAAGGGCAGGGUUUUGCAAGUGCGCUUCUGCAAAAUGGACAUUCAAUGGCCUACGUUGUUUUGGCGGGAAGGAAGGAGGACAUCACAAUGUGACCCUUUAGUGGAUGUGUUUUUUUUGUAACUGACUGAUCAUCAAGGAGUGCAGGUGAAAAAUCUAAGAUUCUUAUUUUUUUUACUGCCUGUAUUUGAACUCAAGGACUAAGUGUUUCUGUUCGUGGAGUAGAAAGCUUAAUCAAAAAGCAGAAACAGCAGAGGAGUUUUUGGUACUUAGAACAUGCAUAAAGGAAACAACAAUAUCAUCGCUUUAAUACAUAAGUCUCCUGGAGUAAAAAUAUGGAGUACAUUUUUUUUGCUCCUUGAACAUGUAAAUGYAACAAAGAUGGACAAACCCGUGAGGAGUGGUUGAGAAUAAAGGAAAUGUAAGAAGAUUUUGUAAAACCGUACAUACAAAUGACAUUGACCUCAAUCUACCAUUGCAUUCAAUUGGACCGUGUGCAGGCAGAAUUKUUUUUCCUUUUUUGUUUAAAAGGGGUCUCAGGGUGUGCAGUGGGGGUAUUUUAACCCUGCGAUGAGGGGAAAUGAAAGGAUACUAGUACUGAUCUCUGGGGAACACCCAUCAGCCCUCGUCAACACUUACUGUUGACGAGGGCUGCCCCGACCACUCUCACUAUGCACUUUGGUUCAUUCAAACUGUGAGGUGCCAUCACAUUUGAGAUAGGAGCACAGAAAUAUUGUAGUACAAAGGGAGGGUUUAAAAUAAAAUAAAAUAACUUUGACUGAGUUAAUACCGUCUCACUGAAAACAAGAUUUUCAAAACGAAAGACAGGAACACGCCUUCUUCRUCCUGUACAUAACCAUAUUUUUGUAUUAGGCCUAACUUUAAAGAAGAUCACUUGGACAAAACUGCAAGGCUUGAUAUACAAACUAACAGAAUAAGGAAAUUCAUGAGACAUUGAUUUACAGAGUGAAUAYUCCUGUGGUAAAUGAAUUACCUGGAAAUUCCCCAAACUUUGCCAGUAGCCCUGUAUGUCUUCAGGGAUGGGGAAAGAAAAGACUUAACAUGGUUGGAGCUGGGGACUGCAGGGACUCCCAAGACUGAAUGAUGAUCGCUGCUGCAGAGCCCAGCCCAGAGUGUUUGACCAACUGGCACCAACCAAUGGAGAAGGCAGGGGAGAGAGUCAGGCGGAUGUACCAGGGGACCUGCUUCCCAGAUGCCCCCCCCCAACCUUCUGUCACCUAGCCACUGCCUGGAGAUCGAUCACGAGCUGACUGCAAGAAGACAACCAUCAUAUGGGGUCCUCACUGUUCUUAGCUGCCCUCUGCUGGAGAGGAGAUGGAGAAGCUCCUCAGCCCUUUCUUCUUCCACUACUCCUCUCUGCACCCCUGGUGGUGAAAGAGCAGGAACCACAUCAGCUGCAGUAGCAGAGGACCUGGAACAGUGGAGAAACUGACCACACACACACAGAGCUUUACACACAUGUCCAUGCAGCAUUCUCAAAUACUCUCUUUUCAAGAACCACAUUCUUGAAGACGACAUUUCACACACACACACACACACACACACACAAGCAGAAAGGCUCAAUACCAUACACUUGAGUUCUGACUGCUAUGUAAAUAAUAUAAAAGUAUUUUCUUUUUUCUGUUCAACAUGCCUUAACUGUGGAGAUCCGCCUUUGUAUGGCAAACUCUAAAACAUAUAUUAACAGUAAGAGUGAAAGCCAGUUGGAGAACCUGAUAAGGACUAUAGCAUUUGAAUAAGGGGGGUGGUGUCAAUGUUCUACCUACUGGGACGGCGUCUUAUUGGCGAACAAUACUGUUGUAUGUUACGUUAUUUCUGUCCAGCAUCUAUGGCAACAAAGUAGAACGGAAGGCAAUCCCUGACAACGAUGAUUAAGACUGAUGGUUUGCCUUUUUUCAAAGCAAGAGUGACUGUUCUGUUWUCCAGUUUUAAAUGCCCAGACAUGUAGCUGAAGAUGCAGGCUGAGGAAUCUGAAGCCUGUGUAUUAUGGAGCUGAGCUGACCAGGAAGAGUGUGUUAAAUAAAUCCAUAUGUUCCUUUA